Molecule: transfer RNA, 76 nt
Filed under: Streptomyces turgidiscabies Car8
Lineage: Bacteria; Bacillati; Actinomycetota; Actinomycetes; Kitasatosporales; Streptomycetaceae
Description: tRNA-Ala
Rfam family: tRNA
About the family: Transfer RNA (tRNA) molecules are approximately 80 nucleotides in length. Their secondary structure includes four short double-helical elements and three loops (D, anti-codon, and T loops).
Source: RNAcentral
GGGGCUAUAGCUCAGUUGGUAGAGCGCCUGCAUGGCAUGCAGGAGGUCAGGAGUUCAAUUCUCCUUAGCUCCACAG